This 351-nucleotide ribosomal RNA is filed under the name Boophis reticulatus. Its description in RNAcentral is "partial 16S ribosomal RNA". It matches the Rfam family "Bacterial large subunit ribosomal RNA", at positions 2080 to 2591 of the family's 2925-position model. Lineage: Eukaryota; Metazoa; Chordata; Amphibia; Anura; Mantellidae. The record is from RNAcentral.
ACGAGAAGACCCCAUGGAGCUUUAAACCCGACAGCACCCACUUAUUUAACACCUUCUUAUCCGCCUGGCCCCUGUCUGCUCGGUUUUGGGUUGGGGUGACCGCGGAGCAUAAAAUAGCCUCCACGAAAGAAGGGAUGAUUCCCUCAUUUUAGAACUACACUUCCAAAGACUAACAAAUUAAUUUUAAGUGAUCCGAUACCCGUAUUCGAUCAACGAACCAAGUUACCCUGGGGAUAACAGCGCAAUCUACCUCAAGAGCCCCUAUCGACAGGUGGGUUUACGACCUCGAUGUUGGAUCAGGGUAUCCCAGUGGUGCAGCAGCUACCAAAGGUUCGUUUGUUCAACGAUUAA